GAUGAACGCUGGCGGCGUGCCUAAUACAUGCAAGUCGAACGAACAGACAAGGAGCUUGCUCCUUCGCCGUUAGCGGCGGACGGGUGAGUAACGCGUAGAUCACAUACUUAUAUUACUGGGAUAACUUCGGGAAACCGGUGAUAAUACCAGAUCAUAUUUCGAACCGCUGGAUUCAAUAGUGAUAGAUGCCUUGCCUGUCUCUUUUAGCUGAUCCUGCGCCGGAUUAGCUAGUUGGUAAGGUAACGGCUUACCAAGGCAACGAUACGUAGCCGACCUGAGAGGGUGAUCGGCCACACUGGAACUGAGACACGGUCCAGACUCCUACGGGAGGCAGCAGUAGGGAAUCUUGCGCAAUGGGCGAAAGCCUGACGCAGCAACGCCGCGUGAGUGAAGAAGGUCUUCGGAUCGUAAAGCUCUGUUAUUAGGGAAGAACAAACGUGUAAGUAAAUGUGGACGUCUUGACGGUACCUAAUCAGAAAGCCACGGCUAACUACGUG
RNAcentral lists this ribosomal RNA (497 nucleotides) under uncultured bacterium. Its description in RNAcentral is "partial 16S ribosomal RNA". It matches the Rfam family "Bacterial small subunit ribosomal RNA", at positions 28 to 507 of the family's 1533-position model. The record is from RNAcentral.